Molecule: long non-coding RNA, 871 nt
Organism: Camelina sativa (false flax)
Lineage: Eukaryota; Viridiplantae; Streptophyta; Magnoliopsida; Brassicales; Brassicaceae
Source: RefSeq, a predicted model, not a curated record
ACCAACAACAACAGAACAACGUAAAACAGAAAAAAAAGGUUGUCUCGAGAGCAAAAGUCGAUUCGACAACAUAGAUCAGAUUCAGUCGACGAUGGAUAAGACAACCUCUAUUUUCGAAUUGGAAAACCCAGAGUAAGAUCCAUCAUCAAUCUGUCUUAAUGGAGUUCCCGAUGUCGUCUUCAAUUGAUAAUUGAGCGUUUUAGUAGAGCUUGAAAAUCUAUAAACGAAUAUGGGUAUUCUUUAAAAGGAACUCGAAUGACGAACACUUAACCAAAGAUAAGUAACGAUACCUAUUUCUUUAUUUGUAAAUACCUAUGACUUAUCUAUCUAAAAAUUCUAAUCUUUUAUUUUACCUGGUCAGGGUUAAAUUACUUUCAGUAAGAGGAAGUCUAGAGACAACAAUUGGAUUGAAGUUUCGCCUAAAACUUACCAUAUAAUUUUGGAUUUCUUUUUCCUUGCAAGUAGGGAAAAAUCUCUUCUACAAUGGAUCACUAAGCUUUUGAGUGGAGCUUCGAGAUAUAUAAUCGAAUUGAGUCUUCUUUCAAAGGUUGAUUGAUUUAGGAGAUCCGUAAUUGUUGAUAACAAAUUUUGGAAAUCAAGCAGUUUAAACAGAAAUCUCGGAGAAGAUCAUAGUAGAAAGGAAGAAAAAUCUGUGUAUUAAAUUGUUGAAGAUAAACGAUUGUCAACUUUAUAUUUUUGGGUUAUGUAAUUUUAUAAAAGGAUGGGCUUGGGCUAGUCCAAACGAUUGUUUUGAAUAUAUUUUCGGAUUGUAAUCGUGGAGCCCAAAUUUCUACUUAUAUUUGGGGGUCGAAAUAAUCUAUUGUAUUUUAAAAUUGCUUAUAUUUGGAGGUCGAAAUCUCUUACACAUGCA